This 1532-nucleotide ribosomal RNA is filed under the name Salmonella enterica. RNAcentral describes it as "partial 23S ribosomal RNA". It matches the Rfam family "Bacterial large subunit ribosomal RNA", at positions 1 to 1378 of the family's 2925-position model. Lineage: Bacteria; Pseudomonadati; Pseudomonadota; Gammaproteobacteria; Enterobacterales; Enterobacteriaceae. The record is from RNAcentral.
GGGUUGUGAGGUUAAGCGACUAAGCGUACACGGUGGAUGCCCUGGCAGUCAGAGGCGAUGAAGGACGUGCUAAUCUGCGAUAAGCGCCGGUAAGGUGAUAUGAACCGUUAUAACCGGCGAUUUCCGAAUGGGGAAACCCAGUGUGAUUCGUCACACUAUCAUUAACUGAAUCCAUAGGUUAAUGAGGCGAACCGGGGGAACUGAAACAUCUAAGUACCCCGAGGAAAAGAAAUCAACCGAGAUUCCCCCAGUAGCGGCGAGCGAACGGGGAGGAGCCCAGAGCCUGAAUCAGCAUGUGUGUUAGUGGAAGCGUCUGGAAAGGCGCGCGAUACAGGGUGACAGCCCCGUACACAAAAGCGCAUGUGCUGUGAGCUCGAUGAGUAGGGCGGGACACGUGGUAUCCUGUCUGAAUAUGGGGGGACCAUCCUCCAAGGCUAAAUACUCCUGACUGACCGAUAGUGAACCAGUACCGUGAGGGAAAGGCGAAAAGAACCCCGGCGAGGGGAGUGAAAAAGAACCUGAAACCGUGUACGUACAAGCAGUGGGAGCCCCACCACUAAGCCAGUGGUGAACUCCACAUACGCAUCCUUUGCUGAGGAUACGGUUAACGGAGCGAAAGCGACGUUCAACCGCAAAAGAAGCAGAGGGGGCUUAGUGGUGGGGUGACUGCGUACCUUUUGUAUAAUGGGUCAGCGACUUAUAUUCUGUAGCAAGGUUAACCGUAUAGGGGAGCCGGAGGGAAACCGAGUCUUAACCGGGCGUUAAGUUGCAGGGUAUAGACCCGAAACCCGGUGAUCUAGCCAUGGGCAGGUUGAAGGUUGGGUAACACUAACUGGAGGACCGAACCGACUAAUGUUGAAAAAUUAGCGGAUGACCUGUGGCUGGGGGUGAAAGGCCAAUCAAACCGGGAGAUAGCUGGUUCUCCCCGAAAGCUAUUUAGGUAGCGCCUCGUGAACUCAUCUUCGGGGGUAGAGCACUGUUUCGGCUAGGGGGCCAUCCCGGCUUACCAACCCGAUGCAAACUGCGAAUACCGGAGAAUGUUAUCACGGGAGACACACGGCGGGUGCUAACGUCCGUCGUGAAGAGGGAAACAACCCAGACCGCCAGCUAAGGUCCCAAAGUCAUGGUUAAGUGGGAAACGAUGUGGGAAGGCCCAGACAGCCAGGAUGUUGGCUUAGAAGCAGCCAUCAUUUAAAGAAAGCGUAAUAGCUCACUGGUCGAGUCGGCCUGCGCGGAAGAUGUAACGGGGCUAAACCAUGCACCGAAGCUGCGGCAGCGAACGUAUCACCCAAGACAACUUUACGGAGUUGACGAUUGACGGAGCGAAGCGACGUCAAAGCGUUCAUUAAAGUCGAGUUGGCUUAGGGAUACGUUCGUUGGGUAGGGGAGCGUUCUGUAAGCCUGUGAAGGUGUGUCGUGAGGCAUGCUGGAGGUAUCAGAAGUGCGAAUGCUGACAUAAGUAACGAUAAAGCGGGUGAAAAGCCCGCUCGCCGGAAGACCAAGGGUUCCUGUCCAACGUUAAUCGGGGCAGG